This 81-nucleotide ribosomal RNA is filed under the name Coelogyne swaniana. RNAcentral describes it as "partial 26S ribosomal RNA". It matches the Rfam family "Eukaryotic large subunit ribosomal RNA", at positions 1 to 80 of the family's 3401-position model. The record is from RNAcentral. Lineage: Eukaryota; Viridiplantae; Streptophyta; Magnoliopsida; Asparagales; Orchidaceae.
GCGACCCCAGGAUGGGCGAGGCCACCCGCCGAGUUUAAGCAUAUCAAUAAGCGGAGGAGAAGAAACUUACAAGGAUUCCCC